CAGGCAUAAAUUCAAUAAAAGUGGCGGCCGCCGGGCCGUCGGUGUCGCUGCCUCAGGCGACACUUCAUUCCCCGAGACGACGUAGAAGUAAGUAGCUCGUAAAAUAAUUUAGUGG
Molecule: non-coding RNA, 115 nt
Organism: Caenorhabditis elegans
Lineage: Eukaryota; Metazoa; Nematoda; Chromadorea; Rhabditida; Rhabditidae
Source: Ensembl